CUAGAGUCAUAUGAACACGGUCAUUCCGCUAGAGCCAAUCACAGGGCUUCGGGAGGCGGGAUCUAGAGCGGGUGGGUAGCAACAGUUGCCCCGGUGAGGAAGAAGCGCCAUAGCCACGGUAGUCCUGGCGACAAGAACCCAGCAACGAGAGUCAACAACAACAACAGCCUGAAACCUUGAAAAAAAUAAAAACCCAAUAUACCAGUUGGAAAUUCUCUCGGAAUAAGAGGUGAAAAUCUUAAAUAAUUACGUAAUCCGACAUUUUACGUUUCAGAAGAAAAUGUCUGUCAGGAUUGCUGUUGUUUUAUCUAACAGCCAAAUCGGCUAGGUAGCAAGCUAGCGAUCGCUAGCUUCAUAUAUCAGAAGCACAAUAAGGCUCACUGGCUAUUUAGCCAGCUUGGUUCGAAUAGCCGUCUGACUUGAUGUUUCAGUAUUUCUAAAACAGGCUGUUGUUAUGGCGAUGUCAAAUGCACGAUAGGCUGUACAAAAUGGCGGGGAUGAUGCUAGCUAGCUACUAUACGUGACACUAGCCGCUGCUUACAUCUCACAUAUCACGUUACCAGCUAGCCAGCUAUCUACCUGACGAGUUUUUUGAUCAGUCUGUCUUUUAUGUCAAAAUUAAAAUGUCUGUGAUAUGUUAUCUAACAUACUAGCAGCCACUAGAACAAAAUCAUCUAGCUGGCAGUGUUGAGUCUGGGCUCUCCUGAUGGCCACGCCAGCCUACGUGGGGGAGCUGCCGCAGUCCUCCCAGCCACCGGGGGGCAGUGUGAGCGUGGUGGCAGGCCAGCCGGACGCCGCCGCAGCAGCCACCGCUCCGCCGGCGCAGUUCCUGGCCGAGAUCCCCACCACCAUCAUCACAGGGACCACCACGCCCCCUGUUGACCAGACCACGCCCCCUGCAUCUCAGGCUCCUCCCACACAUUCCCAGAACUCCCCGGUGGCCUCCACGCCGGCCCCGCCCACCCAGACACAGUACGUUGCCACGGAGAUCCAGAGCUCGCCCACCCAGACCAACGCCCAGAGCACGCCGCAGUACAUCGUCGUCACGGUGACCGAAGGUUCUCUCCACUCCAGUGACUCUGUGUCCGACUCCAGUCCUCCUCCUGCUGUGGUCCAGACAGGGGUUCCCACACAGGUGGUGCAGCAGGUACAGGCCGGCCAGCAGACGUCAGUGUUGCAGGCCAAUUCACAGGCUGCAAAGACGGAGCAGGGUACCCAGCUGACUGUUACCAGUCUGCAGCCUGUCCACAUCACACAAGAGCAGCUUCAGCAGGUGCCAGUCCAGCAUGUGUACACUAACCAGGUGCAGUAUGUGGAGCCAGGAGACCCGACCUACACCACCAGCACCAUUCGCUCCAGCAGCUUCACCUACUCCGAGGCUCCUCUCUACACUCAGACCUCCGCCGGCACCUCCUAUUACGAGACCACGCCCACCUCCGGCUCCCCCUCCACCCCGGCCACGCCUCUCACCGUUGCCGUGACGACCGGCGCCGCGGGCUCCGUCUCCAUGUUCGUGGCAGGGGCGGGGCAGAUCGUAGCCAAUCCCGUCGUGACAUCGGGAGCAGGGGGAGGGGCCGCAUCGGUGGUUGCCACGGGGUCUGCCGGCACAGCCAAUGGCACGGGGGAAGGCGGGGCUUCUAACGGGGGAGGCGGGAGCUAUGUGAUCCAGGGCGGGUACAUGCUAGGAGGCGGAGCUAACAGCAACAGCAGCGGCGGCGCGAGCAGCAGCAGCAGCAGCGGUAGUCAUGGCUACACACACACACACUCACACACCCCCACGGCGCGAGCCUCCCCCACCACCGUGAGCGUCUGUGAGGGGGAGGACAGUAGCGUGCCCUCGGCGGACAAGAAGGUGCAGUGGCUAUUAGAUAACUACGAGACAGCUGAAGGUGUGAGUCUCCCCCGCUCCACUCUCUACUGCCACUACCUGCUGCACUGCCAGGACCAGAAGCUGGAGCCCGUCAACGCCGCCUCCUUCGGCAAACUCAUACGAUCAGUCUUCAUGGGGCUCCGCACACGCCGCCUGGGCACACGGGGUAACUCUAAGUAUCAUUACUACGGUCUGAGGAUCAAAGCCAGCUCGUCUCUACUCAGGCUUAUGGAGGACCAGCAGCACCUAGCCAUGAGGCAGCAACCCUUCUCCCAGAAACAGAGGAUGAAGGCAGUGCAGAAGGUGGAGGGGAUGACCAAUGGGACGUCCUCUUCCAGCUCAGGCUCCGCCCAGCAGCAGGGGAGUGGUGGCCUGUCUGACAUCAGCGCUCAGGUGCAGCAGUACCAGCAGUUCCUAGACGCGUCACGUGUGCUCCCAGAGUUCCCUGAGCUGGACCUGCAGGGUAAGGCGCUCCCAGAGGGCAUCGAGAUGGAACACAUCAAGAGCUUUCAGCUGCUGUACCGGGAACACUGCGAGGCUAUCCUGGAUGUGAUGGUGAACCUGCAGUUCACUCUUGUGGAGACUCUUUGGAAGACCUUCUGGAGGUUCAGUGAGAACCAGACCACAGAUACAGGAACACUGGCUGUCCAUGAUGAGUCGGAGCGACGCCUGCCCAAGUCCUGUCUGGUGCUGUUGUGUAAGUACGACCCGGUCGUCCGCUGGAGUCGAGACUGCGACAACACACUGUACCAGGGCCUGGUGGAGAUCCUCAUACCGGAUGUGCUGCGACCCAUACCCAGUGCCUUAACCCAAGCCAUCCGUAACUUUGCCAAGAGCCUGGACAGCUGGUUGACCAACGCCAUGAUGAACGUUCCAGAGGAGAUGGUCCGCGUCAAGGUGACGUGUGCUAGUGCGUUUGCGCAGACGUUGCGCCGGUACACGUCUCUGAACCAUCUGGCGCAGGCGGCACGAGCCGUUCUCCAGAACACCGCCCAGAUCAACCAGAUGCUCUCCGACCUCAACCGCGUGGACUUCGCCAACGUGCAGGAGCAGGCCUCGUGGGUGUGUCGGUGUGAGGACCGUGUGGUCCAGCGUCUCGAGCAGGACUUCAAGCUCACGCUGCAGCAGCAGAACUCUCUAGAACAAUGGGCCGCCUGGCUGGACGGCGUCGUCUCCCAGAUCCUAAAGCCCUACGUGUCCACGGCCGCCUUCCCCAAAGCAGCCAAACUCUUCCUGCUCAAGUGGUCCUUCUACAGUUCUAUGGUGAUCAGGGACCUGACUCUGCGCAGUGCUGCUAGUUUCGGCUCGUUCCACCUGAUCCGACUCCUGUACGACGAGUAUAUGUACUACCUGAUCGAACACAGGGUCGCCCAGGCCAAAGGAGAAACACCCAUCGCUGUCAUGGGAGAGGUAACACACACACACACACACACACACACACACACACACACACACACACACACACACACUACUCCUGUACGACGAGUACAUGUACUACCUGAUAGAACACAGGGUCGCCCAGGCCAAAGGAGAAACACCCAUCGCUGUCAUGGGAGAGGUAACACACACACACACACACACACACACACACACACACACACACACACACACACACACACACACACUACUCCUCUAUGACGAGUACAUGUACUACCUGAUCGAACACAGGGUCGCCCAGGCCAAAGGAGAAACACCCAUCGCUGUCAUGGGAGAGUUUGCCAGUCUUGGCCACAGUUUGAACCCACUGGACCCAGACAAAGAAGAGGAAGAGGAGGAGGAAGAGGAGAGUGAUGAUGAGUGCCAGGAGCUUUCGCUGCCUUCUGACGUAACUCUUGGCACCGACUCCUUGGAGCCACCCGCCAAGCUGGCCCGCACGGAUCAGAGAGUCCUGUUGAAUUAAACACACACACACACACACACACACACACACACACACACACACACACACAGACACACACACAC
This is an RNA transcript of Clupea harengus (Atlantic herring), 3832 nucleotides long. It is a transcript of the gene named regulatory factor X, 1a (influences HLA class II expression), with no coding region annotated. The record is from RefSeq and is a predicted model, not a curated record. NCBI's taxonomy places the organism in Eukaryota, Metazoa, Chordata, Actinopteri, Clupeiformes, Clupeidae. The transcript has 18 exons.